Sycon ciliatum is the source of this 1419-nucleotide long non-coding RNA. RefSeq lists it as uncharacterized. Lineage: Eukaryota; Metazoa; Porifera; Calcarea; Leucosolenida; Sycettidae. The transcript is spliced from 4 exons. The record is from RefSeq and is a predicted model, not a curated record.
UCAUGCCUCAUGGUCGUCGUGUUUCCUGUCUCCAGCUAGACUGCAGUGUAUCUCAUGAUGAUUCAUGAGUCGCAGUACUGCAUCUUCGCUGCAAGUGUUGCCUCGGCGAUGCAUGAUGUUACCUCUGACUCUGAGUGGCUAGAAAAUUAUUGUCAGAACAUGCCAGUUUGCGGCAAGCGGCGCGCACAGUCCGUAGUAGGUAACGUAAUUACCAUGAUUACGAACGGAUGCAGAAGCUCACAAUCUCUACGUUUCACUGCCAUCACCGUUCAAGGGGAGAGAUACCGUCCUUACCCGUCUACUCCUUAUCGACUUGGACCUAGGAUAAAAGCUAUACAACGAGAUGAGGAUGGUCAUUGUCAGUUUCUGGGCUGCGAACAGGCAGAAAGCUAUACAACGAGAUGAGGAUGGUGAUUGUCAGUUUCUGAGCUGCUAAUGGGCACAAAGGCACCCGGAUCACCGCAAGCGUCCAGACGUUGAUCACUUGGUGCAACGGCUUAGCCAUACGGCCGUCCUACUCGCCCCGGUGCCUCAGUCCAGUCCAUUACCCAGGCAAGCAUACUCUAUUGGCGCACCGUUACACGCAAGUGAGAACAUGUAUGAAGAUAUGCAAGUGAUAUACUGCUUGCAGUCAAGACCUCGCCACUCUCCAUGACGUCACAAGAGUUCCUGGGAAGUGAUGGUGAUGUCAUGGCUGUGUGUAUAGUAUAAUAUACUGUACACCAUGAUAUGGAAGUGUGUUGUAUACAAUAUUAUUGUAUACAACACACGUCCAUAUCAUGGUGAAUGAUCUCAGUGUGUGGUAUCCGCACAUGCUGGUCGGGAACUGAGAAUACAGCAUGUCAGUAUUGAUGCAAUGCAAUUGGAACUUGACUUGAUAUUGCAUACGAAUUAUACUCAAUUCGACUCUUGGUCUCCCCCACAAUGUUUCGAAAAAUGAACGUGUGUGUCCCACGCAGGGAGUAACACAAACGUUCACUAUUUUCUGUCUUGAUAACAAUUAAUAUAUUGAGCGUUCUUAGAUUCAAGCCUGGCUAUUUAUGAGAACACAGUUUGUCCCGACCGAGUACAUGUAUCAUAUCCGUGCUAUUUUUUUCACCUUCCCCCUUUUCAUUCACUUAAUUAAAUACAUGUACGUCGAUUUUUGAUGAGGUAUUCAGCAUGCUGGCAGUUUGGAGAGAAAUUCAGUACUACAUUAAUCUAACUAAGUCUUAAUAUCUCACACACUCACAUCUGGCAUUUGCUUGGACUUGUACACUGUUCAUUCGUAUUAUUAUUAUUAUUGUUUGCAUCCUCAUAUUGAUGCUGGAUGCUAAGUCCUGAGUUCCGCUUAUGCUGCAUGGCUUUCAUGAGAGGAGCCAUAGGAGUAAACAUCCACAUAGUUCUGAUUACCUGUGCAUUAGAGUGGAUUCACCUUUC